This 253-nucleotide ribosomal RNA is filed under the name uncultured bacterium. RNAcentral describes it as "partial 16S ribosomal RNA". It matches the Rfam family "Bacterial small subunit ribosomal RNA", at positions 524 to 776 of the family's 1533-position model. The record is from RNAcentral.
GACGUAGGGCGCGAGCGUUGUCCGGAUUUAUUGGGCGUAAAGAGCUCGUAGGCGGUCUGUCACGUCGGCUGUGAAAACCCGGGGCUCAACCCCGGGCCUGCAGUCGAUACGGGCAGACUAGAGUGUGGUAGGGGAGACUGGAAUUCCUGGUGUAGCGGUGAAAUGCGCAGAUAUCAGGAGGAACACCGGUGGCGAAGGCGGGUCUCUGGGCCAUAACUGACGCUGAGGAGCGAAAGCGUGGGGAGCGAACAGG